CCAGACUCCUACGGGAGGCAGCAGUGAGGAAUAUUGGUCAAUGGCCGGAAGGCUGAACCAGCCAUGCCGCGUGAAGGUCAGUGCCCUAUGGGCGUUAAACUUCUUUUGUGCGGGAGCAAUAAUGGUCACGUGUGGCCAGACGAGAGUACCGUACGAAUAAGCAUCGGCUAACUCCGUGCCAGCAGCCGCGGUAAUACGUAGGGGGCAAGCGUUAUCCGGAUUUACUGGGUGUAAAGGGGGCGCAGACGGCGAUGCAAGCCAGGAGUGAAAGCCCGGGGCCCAACCCCGGGACUGCUCUUGGAACUGCGUGGCUAGAGUGCAGGAGGGGCAGGCGGAAUUCCUGGUGUAGCGGUGAAAUGCGUAGAUAUCAGGAGGAACACCGGUGGCGAAGGCGGCCUGCUGGACUGCAACUGACGUUGAGGCCCGAAAGCGUGGGGAGCAAACAGGAUUAGAUACCCGAGUAC
This 464-nucleotide ribosomal RNA is filed under the name uncultured bacterium. RNAcentral describes it as "bacterial SSU rRNA". It matches the Rfam family "Bacterial small subunit ribosomal RNA", at positions 331 to 793 of the family's 1533-position model. The record is from RNAcentral.